Molecule: long non-coding RNA, 1268 nt
Filed under: Macaca mulatta (Rhesus monkey)
Lineage: Eukaryota; Metazoa; Chordata; Mammalia; Primates; Cercopithecidae
Description: lncRNA (ENSMMUG00000058551.1)
Source: RNAcentral
CGGGGCUCUCGCGUGCUCCGCAGUGGUCGGUUUCCGGGGCUCUCGCAUGUUCCGCGUUGGUUGGUUUCCGGGGCUCUCACGUAUUCUGCGUGUGUUGGUUUCCGGGACUCCCACGUGCUCUGUGCGAGUUUCCGAGGCUCUCACGUGCUGUGUGCUCUUCUCCAGGCAUCUCCUUCUUCUCCCACGGUCAGGAUGCCAUGUGCCUGGGAGACAGGAUUACUUUCCAGGCUGCCCCACAGAAGCGCCAUUUCCUCCCUCUUCCACCCUCCUCCGAAGGUUUCAUACCCAACUGCAUGCUGCGGAGGCCCUUCUGCAUAUGGCGACUCUAAGGCAUCACUGGCAAUAUCAUGAAAUAACAUGAGGUAGAGUUUGAUAAAUGGGAUGACAGACCCUGUCCAUCACCAGGAGGCUUAUUGGUCUCUUGGUGCAGAAACAAGCCUGAGACUCACAUCAUUAAAUGUAAGUUACAGCCACAAGCAUGGAAAACCAUUGCUCAAACACCUUGGCAAUAACAGUGGCGUGGUGUGGCUUCGCGUGAGUCUUUUUCUUUUUAAGGGGAAAAAGAAACGUUUUGUUCAGUAAUUGCUCCUGGAUGGGGGCCCAGCCUGCAACAGCUUGGCGUGUGGAAGGCUCUGGUGCCAGGUACAAUGCUGAAGAAUCAGACGCGGAGAGAGAGAGUUGCUCUGAACCGCAAGGCCGGAUAUGAGGUUGAAUCCUGUAGCAUUUUAACCUACAAAACGGACAAUUUCAUAUGGUUUCACUGAUUGGUCCAAGGCACAUUUUGUAGAACCAAGGAAGGAACCAAGCCCAAGAAAAGCAGGGUGGGGAAGCCCUGGGGGCAGAACUCCCCACCACUCCGCAUCCUCCCUGCCCCCACCCUGCACCGGCCACAGCCUGAUUCUUGAGUCUGGGGUCCCAGUAACUUCCCUAGUCUUGAAUUCUUAGCUUCGAUUCAUCCCUCAGGGUUUGGGACUCAUGUUCAAGUCAGCUUUUCAAAGUUGUUCCCGAGGAUAGCGUUGUCUGCCCAUCGAUUUGAGAAGGCCCUUCUGCGACCUUCGGGAACGGGAAAGGUGGCCUGGCACCAACAUGUUCCUUCCGGGCAUGGAGGCCAGGGUGCUGCUGCAUCACCGGGCUCACAAAGUCCGCCGGACCUGCGCGAGGCCCAGCCCUCUGAAAUGCACUCCUUUAAGUUCCUGGGAACUUGUUGGUUUGUCCCCAAUCCCACCCCCUCCCUCUCCUCACGUUCAGGAACGUGCAGCACUUCCUCC